This 221-nucleotide ribosomal RNA is filed under the name uncultured bacterium. Its description in RNAcentral is "partial 16S ribosomal RNA". It matches the Rfam family "Bacterial small subunit ribosomal RNA", at positions 524 to 744 of the family's 1533-position model. The record is from RNAcentral.
UACGUAGGGUGCAAGCGUUGUCCGGAAUUAUUGGGCGUAAAGAGCUCGUAGGCGGUCUGUUGCGUCGGCUGUGAAAACCCGAGGCUCAACCUCGGGCCUGCAGCCGAUACGGGCAGACUAGAGUUCGGCAGGGGAGACUGGAAUUCCUGGUGUAGCGGUGAAAUGCGCAGAUAUCAGGAGGAACACCGGUGGCGAAGGCGGGUCUCUGGGCCGAUACUGAC